Long non-coding RNA from Arvicola amphibius (Eurasian water vole), 1575 nucleotides. RefSeq lists it as uncharacterized. The transcript has 3 exons. NCBI's taxonomy places the organism in Eukaryota, Metazoa, Chordata, Mammalia, Rodentia, Cricetidae. The record is from RefSeq and is a predicted model, not a curated record.
CAGGCUCAGCAGGAAGCAGGGGGUGAGAGAGCCCAGGUUUAAAAAAAUAGAUUUUGGUUCAGCAUUAACCUCACCUAGGAAGAAACCAGUGAAGAGCCACAAAGGAAAUCCUGGUGCUUCAGCCAAAUCCGCUCUAGAGUCAAGGAAUUCUCACUCUGACCUCCCCAGGGGAUCUGAAACUUAACAAUGAAAGAAGGGGAAUGGCUGGGGCCUGCUGUGCCCGUUUCCAGCCUCUACUUGUGAACAUUCUGUGUGGAUAUAAGAAACGUCAAAGCCUCGAUGUGAUACCAGAGGAUGGAGCCUGCGCACAGUCAGCAGUCUGGAGUGUACAUCAUAAAUCCAGAACUGGGCAGGCACUGUGUCAGCUGAUUGUGAAGAGCAGCUGCGUUGCACACCCUGCUCCGGGGUAGAUGGGGACUUGUCCGAGGAGUGAUCUGAGCCCUUCUCCACCAUGGUGUCUCCGUCUUGGUUCUGUGGCGUUGGCGAACGGGACCGCUUCCGGAGGAUGGGGGAGCAGGCCGGCGUGCUGCGGUUGGAGUUACUGGCAGUGCUGCGGGGGCAAAGAGAGACAGGGAAUGAGGUGAGAGGGUGGAGGAAGGAAGAAAAGCUGACAGUGAUGGCAGGCCAGAGACCCAUGCAAAGGACCCGGGCGACGGGCUGAGAAAAUCAAGAGGAGCCAAAUAGGGACUCGCUGUAUUGUAAUGUUGCUACUGGCCAGCAGGGGGCAGUAAUGCCAGUGUAAAAAAGUCUAGAAACCAGCAGGUAGGUAUUAAAAUAUUGACCCACCCAUCCUGCAAUCUCCCCGUCCAAAACAGUUUGAGCUUUUACUACUUAUGAUAGGCAGAAAGCUAUUAGGAAAAAUAAUUUAAGCCCUGAAAGAAUCAUUGGUGUUCACUCAAUAUCACCAGCUCAUUUUACAAACACUGUGUGUCGACCCUUUUGUUCAUAAUGUCACGUUUCAAAGCAUUCACAUAUAUAUUAUUUCAUAGACAUGUCUUUUUAAAACCAUUACGUUAUUUUCUUUUGCAUGUGUGUGAGUGUGUGUGUGCCGCGCGCGCGUGAGCACACGCGGAGAUGUGCCACAGCACACCUGCGGAGGUCAGAGAGCAACCUGCUGGAAUCUGUCCCCCUCCGAGAACAAUGUGGAUCCCGGGGAAUGAACGCAGGCCACUGAUUGGCAGUGAGCACUUACUUUUAUCUACCGAGCCUUCUCACCGGCCCACAUACCAUGUGUCUAAAGACAUUCAAACAAGCUAAUAAUGGCGAGUGCCACUAUCCUUAAGUUUAAAAAAUGAAGACAAACGUCUGGCAGACAGAAGUAAGUAAUCAAAGCAGAGACUCGGAGUUUGCUUCAGAUGGAGCCAUGCAUCUGGUAUUCGAUGGCGUUAUGCUGCUGUCCCAGUGGGGCACGGUCUUAUCCUCGAGCCCCCACCCCACAUUCAUCUCUGAAAAGGUUCUUGCACUUCUCAUGGCACCAAACCCAGUCAUACCUCAGCAGACCGUCUGCUAAUACAAGAAUUGAACCUGGGCUUGUGUUUUCAAGAGAACAGAAGAGAUAAAGAAGAAAACCUUGAA